AGAGUUUGAUCCUGGCUCAGGAUGAACGCUGGCGGCGUGCCUAAUACAUGCAAGUCGAACGAGGUGCUUUUGUAGCAAUACGAGAGUAUCCUAGUGGCGAACGGGUGAGUAACGCGUUGGUGACCUACCCCAAAGUGUGGGAUAACAGUCCGAAAGGAUUGCUAAUACCGCAUGUGGUUAUCGGCUUUAGAAACUGAUAACUAAAGGAGCAAUUCGCUUUGGGAGGGACCUGCGUCCCAUCAGCUAGUUGGUGAGGUAAUGGCUCACCAAGGCUACGACGGGUAGGGGACCUGAGAGGGUGACCCCCCACAAUGGAACUGAAACACGGUCCAUACACCUACGGGUGGCAGCAGUAGGGAAUAUUGCACAAUGGGCGAAAGCCUGAUGCAGCAACGCCGCGUGCACGAUGAAGGCCUUCGGGUCGUAAAGUGCUUUUCUGGGAGAUGAGAAAGGACAGUAUCCCAGGAAUAAGUCUCGGCUAACUACGUGCCAGCAGCAGCGGCGGUAAUAC
RNAcentral lists this ribosomal RNA (511 nucleotides) under uncultured bacterium. RNAcentral's name for it is "bacterial SSU rRNA". It matches the Rfam family "Bacterial small subunit ribosomal RNA", at positions 8 to 526 of the family's 1533-position model. The record is from RNAcentral.